AGCUCGGCACGGUGGUGCUCCUCAGUAAAGGAUGACCGUGGGCUCACGGUGAACGAACCUGCAAAAAUAAGAACUUCGUAGAAUCGACUCGGUUUGGAUACGAACAAGAACGGCGGCUAGUGUCGGAAGGUGGGGGGUUCACAACUGAGGUGCAGGAGCGAGUCGUUGAGAUCGUCUAAAACUUUCGGCAAGGCUGGGUUCGUCAGUACAUGUGCGUAACAGCAAGGUAGCUUGCUGGUUCGCUACUGGGUUGAGUGUUCCUUCAAUGGACAGUUAACACCAAUGACACCAAGGCCUUGUAGGCAUGGACACGAGGCAAGUCACGGGCUGCUCUCCAGAUGGUGGACUUAUCCCUUCAAGGCCUCACCUCUAUUAAUCUCUUCAAGAAAUUUGGAUACGUGAGGAUCUUGAAUUCGUGAAGGUCUGUGAGCGGUCCUUCGAACCGGGAGCUUGCCGAUGUUACAGGUGUCGUGAUCUGUUGUAGCGAACAGCAAUCGGCAGGAGGAACAACAGUGAAUGGCAACCCAAGCCCGGAAUCAGCAGAGGACAGCUGCAGCAGCGAAGGGUCUCCGGUGUGGGGAUGCCAAGAAGGUCACCGGAAAUCGUCUGGGCAACUGCUGGCUGGUCGAGAAGCGCUUUAGGUCGCCAACUGGAAUUCGUCGACAAGCAUCUAGGUGAAGUGCUGCACGGCGGGGAAGGCUGAACUUGAUGGUUCAGGCGGCGCAAGGAAAGAGUGGCACCGUUUGUGGCAGAGGAGGCACGCCCUGGGGUGGAAAACAGCCCUCUCUCUCUAGUGCUGUCUUUUCGUGCAAAAGCUUUCAAGCAACUCUCGUCUUUUUCUCUCUCAGUUUUGUCUUUAAUUGUGACCAUGUUUUCCAUGUGUGGCCCCAUGUGUGGCCCCCUAUUUGAAUCGCGUGGCCUCCUCUUCAACGUGUGGCCCAUAUUGAAUCGCAUGGUUCACUCCUGCACGUGAAAACAGAAGCGUUUCCGAUUUCUCUUUCCCGUUUGUCUUCAUACCACAGAGAAAUAAUCUUGAUUUGCUAUUUUGUUCUCGAUCUUCCACGCUCCCGUGCUGCUACGAAUCUUCAUGAACGAUCUCCUUUUGACCAAGAAUAUCUCCGUUAAUAUAUAUCAAGUUCACUUUUACAUGUGAGAAAGCCUUUUUUUCUUUGGACACAUAUAUCUCUUCCUUCCCUUUUGCUUGGCCGAAUAUUACCUCACUUGCAAUCAGAUCUUUUCCUUUCGAAGUCAGUGCAAUAUUCUCUUGAUGAUGCAAUAUCCUCUUCAUAUCAUAUGAGCUCCAGCCAUCAUGUGAAAGGCAUAAGUGAUUCUCAUCCAUGGACUUAGUCGAAUUCAUGGGCUCAAUAAAAAUCAAGGCCAAUCAGUUAAGUCCAUCUACCAUUAGUCCAAUGUAAAUGCGAUUAAAAUACUCCUAAAAUUAUAUGUCAUGCAAUUUAAUUAUAAUAUUUUUGUUUAGAGAUUAAAAAUUAAUCCCUAAUUUUUAAUGUGAUAAAAAACUAAUCGCAGAUUGCCAAAAUUCAGAUGUUGACAAGUCAAUUAAAGUAUUCAAUUUGUGCAAAUACUGAUGACAAUGUCCUAAACCAUAAAAUAAGGGGAGUAUUAUUUUGUUCUUGAGCAUUCUAAAAGUCCAUUGACUAUGUAUCAGCAACGGAAAAACAAAUCGCCUCGAUUAACCAGCAAUUAAAUAUGCUAGCAGAUCCACCGCAGGGCUAAUGCAAUGCAACCUCGGCAACAAGGCUAGUUACCGGCGUUGGGAGUGAACGGCCAUUUUCACCUACACAACCGCGGCACGCAACGAGAAAUAUCGAGAAUUUAAUUCCGAAAUGAACCUACUCCUAAAGAAAAUAUUUUGAAAAGCAAUCAUACAUGCGUGAAUUAAAGUCAUUCAUCCCUACCAGGCUUGAACAUACACAAGAAAGCACAGCCUUAAGGCAAAGGACCAAAUCAAAAAGAUGGGUGCAUUUGGGAGAACUUUUGAAAAAAGUCUUUAAGAAAAUGUAAAAGCCCUUGAGUUAAAUGAGUUUUUCAAAAUGCAAAAUGUGUUUGGUAAAUUUAUUUGUGAAAGUCCAUUAUAAAGUAUCUUUGAGCAAAAUAAUGUUUUGGUAAAUUAAAUUUGCAAAAGACUUUUGUUAUUAAAAAAAAUUAAAGAAGGAGAGUUGGCCGGGCAAGGGCUUCGCUUUGCUGGUUACCGUCGGCCAAGGGCUUCACCGGUUAUCGCCGGCCAAGAGCUAAUAGUUGCCGACAAAGGGUAGGCGGUCCGGCGAAGGGGAGGUGGUGCGGUGAAGGGCAGCGUCCGACUAGGGUCACCGUGCGGAGGACACGGCGCAGCGAGGGUCACGGCGACUCGGAUCUCACGAAUCAUGGCGACCCUCACCAAAAGAUUGCGUGACUUGCCAUGCCGCGACCUCCAUGUAGAGGUCGCCAGUGUCGCUCGAUCUAAUCACAGCAACCCAGAUCGCGACCAACUUGCGAGAUCUAGGUUGCCAUGACCCUCGCCGCCCUGUUGCACGACCCACCACAUUGUAGAGGUCGCCAGCGACCUAGGCGAGGUCGUGGGUCACUUGGGUCGCAGCAACCUCCGGCGACCUCCGCGACCCAAGCGCGGCAAGGUCACACCACUUAGAUCUGGGUUGCGCAAUUGGUCGGUGACGAUUGCCGGGGUGCCGUGACCACGCCGGCUGACAUCUAAGAAUCUAACAAAGAAGAAGAUGAAUAGUGCACUGACCAUUCUAAGGGUGUGUUUGGAAUCAACUUUACAAGGGGCUUUGGGCUCCUAAUACUUGGGCUAAAGCUGGGGUGUUUGGGAACAGCUUUAGAAUUCCCAUUAGGCCAAAGCUGGCCUUAUCAAGGCUGAAAGCCCAAGGCAGGUGAAGGGGUGCCCUGGGUUUUCAGCUUUCUCGGCAUACAAGUGACAUUGUUCACUUUUUUUUUUUUCUUCCAAAACUAUCCUCGGCUACUCUCAAUUUUUCCGGUUUUGCCCUCGUCAUUGUACUGUUCAUCUUCUUCUCCGUUGAAGGCCGACGACGUGUUCCUCGAAGCAGUGAGCGGCCGCCGACAGCUCGGCAUGGUCGCGGUGGCCCAAGCGACCGUCGCCGGGGAGUGGUGCAACCGCCGCCCUAUCCGGGUCGCGGCCAUCGCCGUGGGUCACAGUGAGGUUUGGGUCGCCGACCUCGCCGCGACCCAAAUCCGAGGACGGCGAGGUCCUCCCGCGACCUCGCCGCCCCAGACCUUGGUUGCAGCGGUCGCCGGAGGUCGCGCGACCUUGCCGCGACCCAGAUCCGAGGGCGGCGAGGUCGUGCGACCCCGCCGCGACCCAGAUCCGAGGGCGGCAAGGUCGCGCGACCCCGCCGCGACCCCGCCGCGACCCAGAUCCGGGGGCCGCAAGGUCGCGGGGACCUUGCCGACCCAGAUCUAGGUCACGGCGAGGUCGCCCGACGUCCAGCGACCCUCGCCGAUGGUCUUUAGUGGUCGCCCGACGUCCGGCGACCCUCCCCGAUGGUCUUCAGUGGUCGCCCGACGUCCGGCGACCCUCCCCGGUGGUCUUCAGUGGUCGCCCGACGUCCGGCGACCCUCGCCAGAGGUCUUCAAUGGACGUCUAGCAGCCACCUGCCCUUGCCGGUCUUUUUUUUUUUUUUUCUUUUGAAAUUUUUUUUUAUCAUCAAAGCCCUUUGUAAAUGUGAUUCACCCAAACACCAUUUUACUCAAGUGUACUUCAAAUGGGCUUUCAAACUAUAAUUUACCAAACACACUUUGCAUUUUGGAAAAUACCUUUAACUCAAAGGACUUUGCAUUUUCCUAAAGACUUUCCCCCAAAGACUUCCCAAACGCAUCCUAAAAAUGCUGAAAGCCCAAGGCAACCUAGGACCUGUCUUGGGCUUUCAGCCUUUGGAAGGCCAGCAAUCAUUCCUUCAAGGUGAGUUUCAAAAAUGUUUCCAAACACCCAAUAUUUGCUCAAAUGGGCUUUGGAUGCCCAAAGAUACUUGGGAAACCUGGUCCCAAAUGCUGCCGAUGUCAAAGCCGGUAGGUUACAACAUUAGUGGCAGCGCAGGGAGCUUUUGAAACAGCUCCCGGAACAUUUACUCCAAUAAGGCCUCACAAUCAGAGACAGCUGCUACAGUUACUCAGCUCGUGAAUCACGGCGUCCAUGGAUGGCCUGUCAUAAGGAAACUCGUUGGUGCAGAGCGAGGCGAUUUUUACAAGUUUAGCCGCCUCGUACUCGAAGAACCUUCCAUGGAUAUUCCCAUCAAUGAAUUCUUGGAAUCUGCACGAUUCAACAGCCAGACGCAUGGAGUGAUCUAUUUUCUGCUUCCCCAACAAGAUCUGGAACACGAUCAUUCCAAACGCGUAGACAUCACUCUUCUCCGUGAACCGGCCCGUGGACGUGUACUCGGGCGCUAGGUAGCCCAUGGCAGCGCUAGCUUUAGAGCAACGAGAACACAACAUCAUUUGUCAGGAGCCUGUGGAGACCAGAUUGGUAGAGCAACGGAUUGAAUCGCUGGUCUAUGAGCACUUUGGCUGCUGAGAUGUUUUGGUGAAGGAGGGGGGCCUUGUUUGGUUUGUGAGCGUGCAAAUAGGCAAUACCUGUUUCGUAGGAUUAUUUGAAAAUCAACAAAAUCAGAGGUGCAACUUGCAAGUAGAAGACAAUCAAAAUCAGUUGAUCCCCAAUUCAAAGAAAGAUAAACAAUUAAAUUAGAUGCCACAAUAUGCUAUUUGAGCACCACCACCAUUGCCCAUAUUGGUACAUGACAGAGCAGUGACCUGGCAAAAUUUAAAAUGCAGCAAAUUCAACAAUGGCAGGUUACAUCAAAUGAUGGGGAUCCUGGCCCACCUAAAUCUGUUCCUCCACAAUGAAUUGGUAAUGCUAUUAUUAAUUUUGUGGCCUUCUAGAUGGUUACUGCUCACUAGCAGUCCAAAGCACUGUCAAUGAUGCAUCAGAAGAAAUUAGAACUAGAGGUAUUGCUUUGAAGGUUCUUACUUGCUUAUAUACAUACAGGUAUAUAUUGAUUUGCGAACUUGAUCUAUAAAACUGAAAUUUGAAAUAAUUUUAUGAUUGGUUGGAAGAGUGUGCUAAUGGUUUCAAGCCCUUGGCACUAUGACCUAAAACAAUUGAAAGGAGUUUUCAGUGUGUAUAAUAUUCUCUGGGCAUCUUACUUGGGCCAAACCAUCGGCUGAUAUAGAUGAAGACAUAUACCAAGGGGCAUCUUGGUANNNNNNNNNNNNNNNNNNNNNNNNNNNNNNNNNNNNNNNNNNNNNNNNNNNNNNNNNNNNNNNNNNNNNNNNNNNNNNNNNNNNNNNNNNNNNNNNNNNNGAAUGACAUUUCAUGAUUUUGAGGUACGAUCAACUCUGUCGUUCUAUUUUACUUGAUAGAUUUGUUAAGAGGACAAUAUGCAAAUAGAUUAAUAUAUCGAAGAUCCCAUUACUAUGCUGUCCCACAUCUCUAUUUCCAAAAUAAUGGACCAGUUUAUAUUGUAAUCGAAAGAUUUUUUUCUUUGGUGUUUGGUUGAUGGGAUAAGUGGCCAACUGUACAAAUAUGUCAAUUUCUCUAGUUAUCCUAGCAAAACUGUUUGCUGGUCCUGGCUUGCAUGUAUUUAGCUACUGGGGAAUUGUACAUUUUUCUCGUAUAGUGGUUACUCAUUACAAACACGGGAGAAAUAAAGUACAGUGUAAAGAGAUUACACUUCCGAUGACUAUACUUUUGUUAUGAUUAGCCCCUUUACUUUCAUUUGUCAUUAAUUCUAAUUAAAUUUCAUUAAAUUUUCUUGCAAAAUCCGGCAAAAUACUUUUAGUCAACACUUGCUAUCGAGACGCGGCAUCUAUAUGUAAAAGUCUUUGUGACAUUUAAAUUUAUUGCUAAUAACUUUAACUUGCUACCUUGUAUAGUAAAAUAAAGGCUCCUCCACCACAAUGGUGGUUGGUCUAGAGGAAUAGGGCUUACUACCAAUUAGUUGGAGACCUUUUGAUCAUAUGUUUGAAUUCUCAAAUCGUUCAUCGGCCUUAAGGUUCUUGUGGAGCAUCAGUUCGAUCAUGCCUCGAUAUUGGAAAGCCUUGAUUCUACUACUAUUAAAAUCAUGGUGAGACGGCAUGACGUGUUUGCUCAAAUAAGCAAUAAAUAUGGCUCAAAUCGAUAUUUUGUCACAGUAUGGAACUCUUGUAAAAUGCUAGGGGUCGCUGACGCUGAUGCUGACGUNNNNNNNNNNNNNNNNNNNNNNNNNNNNNNNNNNNNNNNNNNNNNNNNNNNNNNNNNNNNNNNNNNNNNNNNNNNNNNNNNNNNNNNNNNNNNNNNNNNNNNNNNNNNNNNNNNNNNNNNNNNNNNNNNNNNNNNNNNNNNNNNNNNNNNNNNNNNNNNNNNNNNNNNNNNNNNNNNNNNNNNNNNNNNNNNNNNNNNNNNNNNNNNNNNNNNNNNNNNNNNNNNNNNNNNNNNNNNNNNNNNNNNNNNNNNNNNNNNNNNNNNNNNNNNNNNNNNNNNNNNNNNNNNNNNNNNNNNNNNNNNNNNNNNNNNNNNNNNNNNNNNNNNNNNNNNNNNNNNNNNNNNNNNNNNNNNNNNNNNNNNNNNNNNNNNNNNNNNNNNNNNNNNNNNNNNNNNNNNNNNNNNNNNNNNNNNNNNNNNNNNNNNNNNNNNNNNNNNNNGUAGCCUAACUUAUGUUCGCAAGCGGUACACAGGGACCACAAGUCGGUAAUUAAUAUCUUCAUCAAGAAUGUUUUCAAACUCUCCAUGUAAAUUUGAUAAAGUGACUUAAAUUGUCUCCGAAGAAUAGCAUUUGAAACUAGUAUUACGACGAAAUAAAGUAUAGAGACGGAAAGUCAGUGGCGGGCUUGGGAUGAGUGAUGGCCCUACCCCCGAUCAAAAAAAAUUUCUAAUGUUAUUUGAUGAGAAUUUUUUUUUAAUAUAUCACUAUAUCUUAUUAGAACUUCUUAUCACCCCUAAUCUUGAAUUCUCGACUCGAACCACUUAAUUGGCAUCCCCACACAUUAUACCGACUUUUGAGUGUGAUGGGAAUUGCUAAAGAGAAAAACAUAUGACAUGAUACCACUAACAACCUGCGUCAUUUCCCUAUGUGUAAUUGAUUCCGAAAUGAUCACAUAAAAAAUAUCAAUUUAUCAUUUCAAAUAUUGUCUUUGUUCGAGCAAAAGUGUUGUCCAAUGCAUUUUUUUUUAACUUUCUUAGAUAGAAAGUAUACAUGAUAAUAACUUUCGAUCUCCACGAAAGAUAGCGAUCCGUCGACAUAGCACAUAUAACUGGUCAUUUCUACUCUCCAUCGUAGUCAUGAAAAUGGUGUUCCCUAUUCAAUGCCCAAAAUCUGUGGGGUUAAACCUCCACUUUCUCGUAGAUUGAUGUGAAUUAUAGCAGGGAACGCACUUGGGUUCUAUAUAUUUAUAUUAAUAAUUGAGUUUACGCAUUAACUAGAGUGAAGUUUUCACUUUCCAGCUUCGAAUCAACUGGAAAAGUUAAAGCCAAGAAACUAAAGUCGAAGACCGGGCCUUGCUUUAAUGGACAGCAUAUUCAUCCCCCUUUCCUAUAUUCAUUUCUUUUUUGUUUUGAAAUUACUUUUUCAACAAAAAGAAUCUUGAAACAACUUUUGUUCGCCAUUACAAAGAUGUGAUCGGAUAAGAUAAUAUAAGAAAUCCCAUCAUUUGUUUGAUGGAGCCAUCUAUCAUGUACUAAGAUGGAUAUAACCAAAAACAAAACAUGAAUAUCCACUUGGGACCAUGUUAAUGAUGUGGCAUAGUUCAAUUUUAAUACCCCAAUCAAGGGCAAUCAACGGAUCAGUUGUCGUCCUCUCGCACACAAUCUACUACGUCCAUAUCCUCUUUCUCUUACUUUAGGUUACCUCGCAAGUAUUCCUGACGAGAUCAGCCCACCUAAAAUGUCAAUUAAUAUGAAUUCAAAGUCCAUAAACUUCAAGCAAUCUCACUUCCCAACUAAAGUAAAAAAAAGACACCUAAAAAUCCAGAUAGAAAGCCCACAAUCCUCAACAUAGACAAAAUGCCACUGAUUAAUUGGGUUAUCGCUUUAUUUGCUCUACAAAAUCCUUCAUUCAAAGAUAAAGAUACCCGCUACUAAUGUGAUUAGGGAGGAGCCAAAAAAUCACAUUUUUUUUUUUCUAAAAGAGGAGAAAUUAUAUUUAACCACAUUAGUGAAAAAAUUCCAUUACCGAAGGAUUAGCCACUGCUAGAACCGCUCAGUGCCCUACCACCAAAGGAAGGACCCCAUCCGCAAAAACUGAGUCUAGGCUUCCACCUUCCAAGAAAGUGUAAAGGGAAGUUGUUCCACCAAGAACAACUGAUAAAAGCAAUCGUCAAAAACCCUAACACCCUCUUUGUUUGCUCCAUGCAAAGCCCUUGCCGCCACUAUGUCCACGGUACCGCCAUUAUUGACCUCAAUAAUGAUGGUCUCUCUCUAAGCUACAUCUUCUCAACAUCGACAGGCUAGUCAUUGAAAGUGAAAAAGCCGCUAAAUCUAGAAGCACGACCGUUUUGCCUCAACAUCAAGGGGCAAUCGCAUCAAGAGCUCAAUCACAUCGGAGGAGACGCCAAGCUUGCAAGAAAGGAAGCCAAUCGCGAACACAAUUAAAAGUAGGGGUGUGCAACGGGAACCGCCUGAACCGGGAACCGGCCGGACCAGACCAAACUGGCCGGUUUUGGGCGGUUCCCACGGUCGGUGGUCCGGUUCCCGGUUCCAAAUCUUGGAACCGGUGGCAGGUUGGUCUGGUCCCCGGUUCCAAGGUGGGAACCGGACCGACCGGACCGAACCAAAUUUUUUAAUAUAUAAUUUAUAUACAUAGAAUUAAUAAAAUAUAUAAACAUGAUAACUUAUUGCAACCAAAAUUGCAAUUUGAGGUAGGAACCUCUUAUGUGGCCAAGAGACCAUUAAAAACAUUUUUGUUAUUCUUUUAUUUAUAGAAAAAAUCUCCUUGUUAGUAACGUAGGCUGUGACUUGAGUUCUCUAUUUUCAAGGUUCCUCGAGUGGUACCAGCAAGUUAGUUAUCGAGAGAAAGAGGGAAAGUAAGAGACUCUUUCUUUUUUAAUUGAUUUAUUGGGGAUUUUAUGAUGAAUGGUUGAAUGAUCCUUGCUUUGUGUUUUGUUUUGUCUGCUUGAGGAAAUUAGAUGAUAUAUUCUUUAGCAAAUAAGAUUACAAUUUUUUGACUUCUAGUGAUUAAAAUGUCCCCACGUUAUUUGUUUAUAGGAUUACAAUUUAAGCCAAGUCCAACCUUUAGCCAAAUUGUUCAUGGCAUUUAUGGUUAAAGUUAAGUGUGAUUCACACUUUGUGUGUUUCACACAAGUGAAGUUUGAAUAUUUUGCACGUGGGAACAUGUGUGAUUAGUUUUGUUGAAUCGCCUAAGAACCGAAUUGGAUUGAUCGGUCCGGAGUGCGGUCACUCUUUAGUGCAGAAAAGUCGGUCACUCUUUAGUGCAAAAAAGUAGAGCCGAUUUUGUUGGACCGGAUUGGACCGGACUGGAACCGAUGGUCCGGUCCGGUUCCCGGUCCUAGGACCAAACGGUCCGGUCCACGGUUCGCAAUUUUGGGAAUCGGUGCUCCCGGUCCGGUUCCCAGUUCCAAGGUGGAACCGGACCGAACCGGGAACUGAUCACCCCUAAUUAAAAGGAGAAAUUUGCAAAUCGAAAUAUAUGAGUGAACACAUGGUAAGACUCAUGUUCAGUUAAGUAAAAGAAAAUGAUCCCUAUCCAAAUUGUUUGCGAGUUUUACUUAAUUGGCCCUUGCAGUAAAAUAUACAAAUGAAAUGCAAUCAGAAGUUAUCUGCUGCAUUUAGGAAUCCCAACAGAAAAUACAUAACUCCAAGAAGACAGAUGCUUUGCUAGGGAGAAAUGGUACUUUUUAAAACGACAUUCCACUUGCAAAUCUCACUCACUCGGCCCAGUCAAGUCAGAAUUCCAUCUCUCUCGCACUUGUGGAGCUGCAUCUUGAAAAUUCAUUUCUUCAGUAUACCCAGCCCACUCAAAAGUGACCCAGGUGUCGGGGUCGUCCCACUCAAAACCGGCCCACCAGUAUCGUCCCCCAAGACCGGAGAAGAUUCCCCUUGCAUUGGGAUAUUUCGAAGGUUGUCCCCUGAGGAAAGGAAUAAAGUGCGAUCGCAAUGCAUGUUAGUCGUGGAAGUCUUUGCAAGAGUAUAUAUUCGAGACGUGGGAAUACUCCCGAAGCAAUUAAUUCCUCCGCUGCUACAAAUUCAUGGCCAGUGAUUUUCUCCAUCGAAUUGUUGUCUAAAACAUACAACUAUCAUAGUUUCGGAGCAUGCACGAGCCACGACAAGUUUGAAAGCCUGUAGCUGGAGACCCUAACGGUGACAAGGCUGGAGAAGCAAGAGCAAUUGGGCACUUGUCCUAUUCCUUGAGUAAUCUCCAUCUUUUUAUCAAUCUUUUGCAAUUAAUAAUAAGGUUAAUACCUUGAAAAAUUUCAAAUUUAUAUAUUUGUAACAAAUUUACCAAAACUAAUUUUUUAACCAUCAAAAACCCUAAACACCUUUAACAAAUAUACUCAAAAUUAGUAAAUUUAUGAUAAAUUUACGCUCUGUUAGUUUUUAUUAAAUUUUACUGUCAAAUUGCUAAGUUGAAUUAAGUUGAAUGACACGUGAAAGUUACUAGUUGAUCAGUUUGCGAUUUUAUUUUUUGUUUGUCACAAUUGUACAAUUUUUGUGGUUUUUAUGGUAUUUAUCUAAUUUAAUGAAGGGUAUAUUUGUCACAAAUGUACCAGUUUUGAGUUUUUGGCAAUCGAACAAAUUAAUUUGGAAUAAAUUUAUCAUAAGAGUAUUAGUUUUGGGUUUUUUGCGAUUACUUGGGGUAAAUCUAUCACAUAUGUACCGGUUUAAGAUUUUUGUAGUCAAAAAAUUAGUUUGGAAUAAAUUUGUCACACGUAUACCAAUUUGGCGUUUUUCAAGGUAUUAACUCUUAAGGAUAUGGAAGUUCUUUGUUUUUUACUUUACUUUGACUCAUCAGAAAACGUUGCACUAAGUGUGUGAAGUUUGAUAGGACUGGUUCCAUGGACCCAACAGAUAGUUCCCAAUUUCAAUUUUUCGGUAUCGAUCUUUAAUGGAAAUCACCCACUUGAAUCAUGCUCAUCCCUACUUUGUAUCAAAAGGCUACGUUACUCACAUCUUUCUAAUCAUAUCCACUUACGAAUUAACACAUGACAAAUAUAUUACAAUCAUACAAAACAAUUUGAAAAUUUGACCUAAAAUUUAAAUGCCUCUCAAACUCUCUAUUCACCCAUCUUUUGCUCGUUUGAAUAGAUAAAUUUUGUCAUUUCUGAUGGACUCUAUAAAAAAAAGAAAAGAAAAGCAAGCUUUCCUUCCAUUUUCCCCAAAAAGCGACAUUAGUCCAAAAAUGAAACAUAUUGAGCUUAUCUCCUGGCGAGUUUAAUUCAGCAAAUAUUGAGUUGAGUAAAUUUUUUAUAAUUAUCUAUUGUUAUCAUUUUCUCGGAGAAAAUUGGUUGGAUUUUGAUCCUUUGUUUCCUCUUUAUAUGAAAGUUUGUUUACCUCUUCACGUAGCGGGACGAUUAAAAUCUGUUGUUUCCCAUGUUGACAAAUAAUUUAUAGCCCUUAUCUAAAUUGGUCUUUACAAUUACAUUUUGCUCAGAAGCCAAUAUCCCAUGCAUUCUAGCAUUCGAACUUCGCUACAGUGAACCAUUGGGGGUUCGCUCCAGUGGCCACCAUUCUAACUUGGAAGGGGAGGUUGGGGGUUCAAAUCUCCACAUUCUCAGGGGGGAUUGGGGGUGGAGACGAUUUCAUUUCAGGAGUGGGUUUCGACUCCCACGCCCUGCAAGGAGGCAAUGGCAAAAGUCUGAGAAUGAGUGUUAGAGUAGGAUUAGAGUAGGACUGACCAAAAAAAAACUUCGCUACAGUGUCUCUCUCUAGCCUUCUUCGCGACAAACGCUUUGAGAAGGGGGACGACGAAGGAGAGGAAGCCGCCGACGACGACGGACGACCACUCCUAUUGCCGCCGCUCCAUAGAAGCUUCGGCACCGCAAGAACCGGGACCUCAACUGCUUUCCCCCACUGAAUGCGGUCGCGCAGGUCGUAGAUUCCGCGAUUCGAGAGAGCUUCGAUGGGUUCGGAGGGAAUCUGCCGGAACGAGCUUCGGAUUGCAGUCCGCCAGCUCAGCGAUCGUUGCCUCUACUCCGCUUCCAAAUGGUAUUGCAUCUCGAAAACCCUAGCCCCGAUUUCAAGCACUCCCGUGCUGGGUAGGACGUAGGAGACGGUAGUGUUGAAAAAAAAAAAAACAGGUGCUUGGUGGGGUUAUACGGUGCUGCCUUUACUUCUGACAUUGGUGGGUGCUGUCCACUUUCUUGAUUCUUAAAUUUGUUUUGGGUAUUGGGGUUUCUGAAUUAGUCGAAUGAUCUGCCAAAACUAUAGCCCUUGUCCCUGUUGGGGAGAACCCGGGUACAACAAUUCACCACGGCCAAACUCAAUCCAGGAUCAAUUUCUCCCCCGAAGCUAAAUCAACUAAAAUUUUCUUAACCCCCAGCAACAACCAGCAAUAUAUAGCCUCACAAAAUGCAAAUAUAACGCCGAAAUGAUAAGUAGACAAAGCAAAUAACGACACCAAAGAUUUAACGUGGAAAACCCGAUGCGGGAAAAAACCACGGACCGCCCAAAAACAUCCACUAAUCACCAAGAAUAGCAGGAUACACAAAGUAUUCUUGUCUAGUCACACACUAGAGUCUCAACAUCAACAUUACAAUCAUUUUCUUCUCACCACAUAGGUAGACAAACAAGUUUGGAGCAAGAAAACCUUAACCGCAAUUGGAGAAUUUGGAGACGGUUCUCGACGAACAAAAACCAUCAACUCGUAGCCCUCGGUCUCACGAACAACAUACUGAAAUUUGAGCCGAUUCCGACAAUAUUUGGCCUUCGAAUCAAAGCCGCAAAGUUGCAGUGCUCUUCCUCUCUUCUCUUUCUCCUUUGCUGCAGUUUUCUUUUCUCGGUUUUUCUCUCUCCUCUCUUUGGACGCACACCCCACGUACGACAACUCCACUUCUUUUUAUUCUUUUUCUUUUCUUUUGUUCUUUAUUUAUUUAUUUAUUUAUUUAAUGUUGGCUGGGCCCCACAUGAAGGUGGACCCAGCCAAAAAAUCUCCCCCUCCACCUCAUGUGGGAAGAUUCGUCAUGCCCGCUUUUCUUCUACAAGCAUCAAGCUUCAUCACGGGCAAGGCUUUGGUCAUCAUGUCGGACUUAUUGUUGUCGGUAUGAACUUUCUCAAGUAGGAAGAGCUUCUCUUCUAGCUUUUCUCGGAUCCAAUGAUACUUCACAUCAACAUGCUUCGAUCUUGAAUGAAACACCGGAUUCUUGCUAAGAUGGAUGGCACUCAUGCUAUCGCAAUAUAGAACAAACUUCUCUUGCUUCAAGCCCAACUCUUAUAGGAAUUUUUGCAUCCACAAAAGUUCUUUACCUCCUUCGGUAAUAGCAAUAUACUCCGCUUCAGUUGUAGACAAAGCGGUACAUUUUUGCAAUCUCAAUUGCCAUGAAACAGCUCCCCCUGCAAAGAUUAUUAUAAAACCCGAUGUGGAUUUUCGGGAAUCAACAUCACCGGCAUAGUCCGCAUCCGAGAAGCCACUCAACUCAGGUUUUGCAUUUCCAUAGCACAAGCAAAGUGUAGAAGUGCCUCUAAGAUAUCUCAAAAUCCAUUUAACAGCGGUCCAAUGCUCCUUACCUGGAUUAGAGAGAAAUCUACUCACAACACCAACUGCAUGAGCAAUAUCCGGUCUUGUACAAACCAUGGCGUACAUCAAACUACUCACGGCCGAUGCAUAAGGAAUUUUCAUCAUCUCAACCUUCUCUUUCUCACUUGAAGGACACUCAUUACUACUCAACUUGAAAUGGCCUGCAAGUGGAGUACUCAUCGGUUUACAUGUGCUAAUGUUGAAUCUUUCAAGCACCUUCUCAAUAUACUUCUCUUGAGAUAACCACAAUUUCUUAUUCUUCCUAUCACGAGUAAUUCUCAUGCCUAAGAUUUGCUUAGCCCGGGCCUAGGUCUUUCAUUGCAAAAGCUUUACUCAACUCAUUUUCAAACUCUUGAUUUUCUUGGCAUCAUGCCCAACAAUCAACAUAUCAUCCACAUAAAGUAGGAGAAUAAGAAAAUCAUUAUCUGAAGAAUCUUUUCAUAAAAANNNNNNNNNNNNNNNNNNNNNNNNNNNNNNNNNNNNNNNNNNNNNNNNNNNNNNNNNNNNNNNNNNNNNNNNNNNNNNNNNNNNNNNNNNNNNNNNNNNNGUUAAGCGUAGUUAUAGUUUGAUAUUGAGCACAUGAUUGACCAAUGAGUUAGACCACUGGUAUUUAUUAUGAUAUUAUUGAUUGAAUGAGAAUAUAUUAAAUGUAUAAAGUUAUAUUAAACUGGUAUAACUAAUCUUUAAUGUAUAUUACAUGCUGAAUUUGGAUAAAUGUGUUGCUGGUAUUGUUUAAAUGUGCAUAACCGAUACUCAAUCUACUUAAAAGAGAUUUAUACUACUCAAUCGGCGAUGAUUUGCUCGGAUCCUUCAUCUCAAUUCUUUUUCAGGUUUUAACGACUAGUAGCAAAUAGAAAGAGAGUGGAAUCAGUGAGGAAAUUUGGGAGUUCGAGUUUGGUAUGACUUAAGAUAGCUGUAUACAUAUGAAAUGCUAGUUAUCGAGUUUAAUAUAGAAGUCACUAGAGAUGCACUUAUUCUUUUUUGUAGACUUUAGAACUAUGAUCAUGUAUCUAUAAUGUUGAUUUUGUAUAUGAUGCUCCAUGAUUUUCUCCAUACAUGAAGAUUUAGGGUGUGACCAAUAAGGGACAAUGUGAGUGACCAAAUUGCCCAGAUACUGAAAGGAGAGCUCUCAAGUCAAAUGAAACAUUAAUUUUGAGCAUUUUAUCACAAUAGUUAGUUUCAUGGUAUAUGGAGAUCGACCUUCAAGGUUGGCAUGGCAAGUGAUGUGUCAUGUCACAAGCGGACUUUGUAUAAGUGAAUCAUAUUCGAGCUGGACUUGACAAGAACUUUCGAGUAAAACUUAAAUUUGUUACAGCAAACUCCAAAGCCAACAUGAUUUGAUAAGUUUUGAUCCUUUUCUUUUCUUUUAACUGAAAGCAAUUUUUUAUUGCAAUGAAACAAUAUGGAAAGCAAUGAGACAGCACGAGGGGAGCGAUUGAAUAUGAUGCCACGGCAUGAUUUAAUGGUCCUAAAUGUGCUGCCAUUAGAGAGAACGCCACAUCAACUUAGAGACCUCUCAUGGAUAUGAGAUUUGAAGAGAUGAUGAAACUAGUGAUAAAUUUAGGGGAAAGAGAUUCAAAUGCUUUCACAGCCUGAAGGAGCAUGCCAUCAUAUUUUGGCCAUUUCUUGUUUCAGUCUCGAUCAAAUCAAAGUAGAUUCUGAUUAGUCUUUUCUAGGUGUGGUCCUAUCGCUACAUUCAAUGAAAAUACAGAGCCAUCGGAUUCCAUGUGAAGGCCGACACCUUCUUCAAAGAUUUUUGCUGCAUUUUGUACUCUACUUGGGCUCGCUCACUCUGAAAUGAGGAAGCACAGAUUCACCAUUCAGGCCAUUGCCACUGGAGAGGUAAAACCCAAAAUACUCCGUGAAAGUGGUCUCUCUGUACAUGGGUGGAUUGUCCUCAUCGAGAAGCUCCUUUAUUGGCCCAUACGGCUUUGACAUCUGCGUCUCUCCUGGUACGAGGAAGCAUGCGACUGACACCCGGGGCCCGGCCUUCCUGGCAAGGACCCGGUGCUCCACGCUCUUGAACUUGUCGUUGCUAACAAGCUGCAAUCAACAAGAUCAGGGAAAACGAAAGUCAUUCUUCAACUCGAAGAUAACUCGACGUUAAUCCACCCAGAAACGUAGGCAACAAGAUGUGAAUGAUCUUUGUACCUGCAUAAGGUCUCCAAUGUUGGCUAGGAUGGCUCCAGGCACCGGGGACACAUCGACCCACUGGUCCUGGUGCCGGACUUGGAGGCCGCCAUGGUGGUUUUGCAGGAGAAGAGUGAGAUAUGUGGCAUCUGAGUGAUUGAUUGUGCCCAGAGUCAGCUCUGGCUGAGGGCAAGUUGGGUAGUAAUGGCUUACUAUUCUCUUGGAGUCCAUGCAUUCAAUGUCACCAAGAUAGCCUGAAUCGAGCCCCAGUGCCUCUGAUAGUAGUUCAGACAGAGAUCUCUUCAAUUUUUCCACGUGUUUUUCGUACUCAAAAACCGGCUCUCUGCAAAGGAGGGAAAGUAAACAUCACGUGGUAAAGAAUACAUGAACCUAUGCAAAUAGAGAAGGGAAAGUUAUACAUGGAUGAAAGAGGUGUGAAGAAUCGAACUUGAUAUCUAUCUCUUGCCCUGAUAUCAUGUUGAAGUUAUGCAGAAAACUGUUUUCUUUCCCCUUUAAAGUAAAAAAGAAACACGGUAUAUAUUUCGAAAUGUCGAAGUCCUGGGUGAAGGAAUAGUGUAAAUCAUGAUGACUGAAUAGAAGAGGGACUGCCUCUCGGUCUGGCUCUCCAAACGGGAAAUCAAACAGGAGAGUGUCCUUCCAAGUUGCUGCUUUGGACCAAAACAAGUCUCCAUUGCUGUAGUACCUAAAUUUCCUAGCGUCGUCCCUGGAGUACCACUCUCCCUUCACUCCCUCAGGCUGCUCGUGGAACUGCUUGACAGCUUCCAACACGCCGUCCAUCACAUCGACCGGGAUCCCGUGGUUAAUUAUCUGGAAGAACCCCCACGUCUCCGACGCUCUACGGAGGUCGUCGACCACGUCUCGCCGCAGCCGGGAAUCCUGACAGCCCAUCAUGUCGAUGAUGGGGACCUUAAGGUCAGUGGCGGACCCCUCUGUGUCAGAGGACACGUCGCGCAGGUUCUGGGGAGGGUGGAUGAAGAGCCUAGGGACCUUGGCCACGCCGGAGUCGAUGAGGCCUUUGACGCCGGCUUUGGUCUCGUCGAAUUCCUUUGCUUCUUUCGCUCUGUCAUAGUGCGGGCCACUACAGGUGAUGGAUUCUCCAGGACUGGACAAGGUUUGCAUCUUUGUAAGGAGAAGCUUUGAAGCCUAUUAAGGAUUCUCCAGAACGAAAGUAGAUCUCUCCUUCUUUCCUUCUCUCUUUCCCUUUUAUCUCCUCCUUUUUCUUUUUUCUUUUUUCUUUCUUUUCUCUCUCUCUCUCUCUCUCUCUCUCUCUGCUGAAGCUUCCACCUUUUUCCUCUACAUUGACUUUUCAACCCCUUAUUUUACAUGCCAAGUCGCCGUCCGAUCACGUCAGAUCCAAAGGGAACCUCAUCACCCUAUAGCGAUCACACGUCUAGAUUAGAGUUAAAGUCAAUUGAAGUAUCCAAUUUGUGCAAAUACUGAUGACAAUGUCCUAGACCAUAAAAUAAGGGGAGUGUUAUUUUACUCUUGAACAUUCUAAACAUCCAUUGACUGUACAUCAGCAACGGAAAAACAAAUCGCCUCGAUUAACCAGCAAUUAAAGAUGCCAGCAGAUCCACCAAUGGAAAAACAAAUCGCCUCAAUUAACCAGCAAUUAAAGAUGCCAGGCAGGGCUAAUGCAAUGCGACCACGGCAACAAGGCUAGUUACCGGCGUUGGAAGUCCACGGCCAUUUUCACCCACACAACUGCGGCACGCAACGAGAAAUAUCGAAAAUCUAAUUCCGAAAUGAACCUACUUCUAAAGAAAAUAUUUUGAAAAGCAAUCAUACAUGCGUGAAUUAAAGUCAUUCAUCCCUACCAGGCUUGAACAUACACAAGAAAGCACGGCCCUAAGGCAAAGGCACCAAAUCAAAAAGAUGUCAAAGCCGGUAGGUUACAACAUUAGUGGCAGCGCAGGGAGCUUUUUCAGACCAACUUCUACCAUUGACUUUUGCAACAGCUCCUGGAACAUUUACUCCAAUAAGGCCUCACAAUCAGAGACAGCUGCUACAGUUACUCAGCUCGUCAAUCACGGCGUCCAUGGAUGGCCUGUCAUAAGGAGACUCGUUGGUGCAGAGCGAGGCGAUUUUUGCAAGUUUAGCUGCCUCGUACUCGAAGAACCUUCCAUGGAUAUUCGCAUCAAUGAAUUCUUGGAAUCUACAUGAUUCAGCAGCCAGACGCAUGGAGUGAUCUACUUUCUGCUUCCCCGACAAGAUCUGGAACACGAUCAUUCCAAACGCGUAGACAUCACUCUUCUCUGUGAACCGGCCCGUGGACAUGUACUCAGGCGCUAGGUAGCCCAUGGCAGCACUAGCUUUGAGCAACGAGAACACAACAUCAUUUGUCNNNNNNNNNNNNNNNNNNNNNNNNNNNNNNNNNNNNNNNNNNNNNNNNNNNNNNNNNNNNNNNNNNNNNNNNNNNNNNNNNNNNNNNNNNNNNNNNNNNNNNNNNNNNNNNNNNNNNNNNNNNNNNNNNNNNNNNNNNNNNNNNNNNNNNNNNNNNNNNNNNNNNNNNNNNNNNNNNNNNNNNNNNNNNNNNNNNNNNNNNNNNNNNNNNNNNNNNNNNNNNNNNNNNNNNNNNNNNNNNNNNNNNNNNNNNNNNNNNNNNNNNNNNNNNNNNNNNNNNNNNNNNNNNNNNNNNNNNNNNNNNNNNNNNNNNNNNNNNNNNNNNNNNNNNNNNNNNNNNNNNNNNNNNNNNNNNNNNNNNNNNNNNNNNNNNNNNNNNNNNNNNNNNNNNNNNNNNNNNNNNNNNNNNNNNNNNNNNNNNNNNNNNNNNNNNNNNNNNNNNNNNNNNNNNNNNNNNNNNNNNNNNNNNNNNNNNNNNNNNNNNNNNNNNNNNNNNNNNNNNNNNNNNNNNNNNNNNNNNNNNNNNNNNNNNNNNNNNNNNNNNNNNNNNNNNNNNNNNNNNNNNNNNNNNNNNNNNNNNNNNNNNNNNNNNNNNNNNNNNNNNNNNNNNNNNNNNNNNNNNNNNNNNNNNNNNNNNNNNNNNNNNNNNNNNNNNNNNNNNNNNNNNNNNNNNNNNNNNNNNNNNNNNNNNNNNNNNNNNNNNNNNNNNNNNNNNNNNNNNNNNNNCAACUUGUACACCCACUUAUUUGUGAGUGUUCUCUUACCCUGAGGCAACCUCACCAAUUCAAAUGUGUGGUUCUCAUGCAAGGAUUUAAGCUCCUCUUGCAUGGCUUCAUGCCACUCAUUUUUUCUUUCACAUGAUAUAGCCUCUUCAUAAGUUUCUGGCUCCCCUGCAUCAGUGAGUAACACAUACUCAUGUGGCAAAUAUUUUUGAGAAGGCCUACGCUCUCUUUCAGAUCUUUUAACUUGAGGUAUGAUAGAUUGCUCUUCCUCAGUUAUUUCACCUGUAUCAGCUGAAGAAUCAACAUUAUGUGAGGACUCACCAUCUUCAUGACUUCCUUGCACUUCUCCUCCAUGAUUUCUAUCAACAUUAGAAGGAUUUGGGCUGAAACUAACUGAACGUUGAGCUGUAUUCUUUGGUCUCUCCACCUUGUCAAUGUCUUCAAUAGUUUGAUACUCACAAAACACCACAUCUCGGCUUCUAAUGACCUUCUUUGCAACUGGAUCCCAUAACCUGUAGUCAAACUCUUCAUGUCCAUAACCUAAGAAAAUACACUGUUUAGACUUGUCAUCAAGCUUGGAUCUUUCAUAUCUUGGAACAUGCACAAAUGCCCGACAACCGAACACUUUUAGAUGGUUGUAGGAAACAUCUUUGCCACUCCAAACUCUUUGCGGAACAUCCCCCUUAAGAGGAACCGAUGGAGAAAGAUUUAUCAAGUCUACUGCUGUUCUCAUCGCUUCACCCCAAAAUGACUUAGGCAACUUCGCAUGAGAAAGCAUACACCGAAUCCGAUCAUUAAUUGUCCGGUUCAUUCUCUCUGCCACUCCAUUAUGCUGUGGUGUUUUUGGAACAGUCUUCUCAAGCUUGAUACCAUAAUCCCUACAAUAGUGUUCAAAUGGGCCUCUAUAUUCACCACCGUUGUCAGUCCGAACACAUUUCAGCUUCUUCCCGGUUUCUCUUUCCACAUUGACAUGAAAUUGCUUGAAAGCCUCAAGUACCUGAUCUUUAGAUUUCAAAGCAAUAGCCCACACUUUUCUAGAACAGUCGUCAAUAAAUGUUACAAAGUAUAAUGCACCUCCAAGAGUUCUAGCAUCCAUGCAACAAACAUCAGUGUGAACUAAAUCAAGUACAUUUAAUUUCCUGUGUGGAGAGGAACUCUGAAAUGAGAAUCUAUGUUGCUUACCAGUCAGACAAUGAGUUCAUUCCUUUAGAUUUUUCUCUUUCAAAGGUAAAAGGUUCUUUCUAGCAAGAGUAUCAAGUCCUUUCUUGCUAAGAUGACCCAACCUCAUAUGCCAUAAAUCAACCAAGGAAUCCUCCACUGCAUUUACCUCUUCUUUAAUCAAGUCAGCUUGCAUGGUGUAGAGAGAGCCUGUCUUCUUACCCUUUGCCACUACCAUGGAACCUUUAGUCAACUUCCAUUUGCCAUCAAAGAAUGAAUUACAAUAACCAUCAUCAUCCAAGGCACCCGUAGAGAUCAAGUGAAGUCUAAUAUCCAGAACAUGUCUCACAUUUUUCAAAAGCAAAUUACAUCCGACAUCGGUUUUCAAAUAAACAUCUCCCAUGCCAAUAACCUUGGAAACAUCACUAUUUCCCAUCCUUAUGCAACCAAAGUCGCCGCUGCGAUAAGAAGCAAAGUAAUCACGCCGUGAGGUGACAUGAAAAGAAGCCGCAGAAUCAACAACCCACAUAGAGUCUUGGCAUGUAAAAUUCACAUAUCCGUCAUCACAUACAAACACAAUAUCGCCAUCGGAUGCAACCGCCGUUGUAGCUUGUUUCUCUUCUUUCUUUUGAUCUCCAUUUCUAUCAUGGAAUCUAUCUCUCUUUGGCAACCAACACUCUUUUGCAUAAUGUCCCAUUUUGCCGCAAUUAUAACACUUGACACUCCUCCUCGGUCUUGAUUUCGACCUUCCUCUUGACUUGCCUCGGGUAUCAUUUCUUUGAAACCUUCUUGAUUGACUUCUCCCCCUGUUUUCUAUAACAAGAGCAUCCGAUGUAGAGGCAUAAUUCAAGCCUUUUCUUCUUGUUUCUUCAUUGAACAAGCUUUCUUUAACCAUGCUCAUAGAAAGCACACCAAAAGGAGCCGAGUUAUUUAAUGCCACAACCAAGGUGUCCCAACUAUCAGGAAGAGUACCAAGUAAUAAGCAUGACUGCAAUUCAUCACCAAGAUCAAUCUCAAGAUUUGUCAAUUGAUUGACAACAUCUUGAAAUUCACUCAAGUGUUCCGCCAUGUUACUCCCCUCCUUGUAUCUCAAAUUCACAAGUCACUUAACUAGAAGAGCUUUAUUUUGUGGAGUUUUUCUCUCAUAAAGAUCUUGUAAUUUCUUCCACAAAGUGUCCGCCCUCGUUUCUUGAGCAACAUGAUGAAAAACACUAUCAUCAAUCCAUUGUCGGAUAAACCCAACUGUUUUCCGAUUCAUUCUCUCCCAUUCUUUGUCUUCCUUAUCUCCUUUGGCUUCAUCACCCUCAAUAGGAUCAAAUAAGUCUUUGCAAUAUAACACAUCUUCCAUCCGAGGCUUCCAAAUAGAAUAAUUCGAGGCAUUUAACUUAAACAUGGUGCUGCUGGUUUCUUCCAUUUAACACUAAAAUUCAACCGUGCUCUGAUACCACUUGAUGGGGAGAACCCGGGUACAACAAUUCACCACGGCCAAAUGCAAUCCAGGAUCAAUUUCUCCCCCGAAGCUAAAUCAACUAAAAUUUUCUUAACCCCCAGCAACAACCAGCAAUAUAUAGCAUCACAAAAUGCAAAUAUAACGCCGAAAUGAUAAGUAGACAAAGCAAAUAACGACACCAAAGAUUUAACGUGGAAAACCCGAUGCAGGAAAAACCACGGACCGCCCAAAAACAUCCACUAAUCACCAAGAAUAGCAGGAUACACAAAGUAUUCUUCUCUAGUCACACACUAGAGUCUCAACAUCAACGUUACAAUCAUCUUCUUCUCACCACAUAGGUAGAUAAACAAGUUUGGAGCAAGAAAACCUUAACCGCGACUGGAGAAUUUAGAGACGGUUCUCGACGAACAAAAACCAUCAACUCGUAGCCCUCGGUCUCACGAACAACAUACUGAAAUUUGAGCCGAUUCCGACAAUAUUUGGCCUUCGAAUCAAAGCCGCAAAGUUGCAGCACUCUUCCUCUCUUCUCUUUCUCCUUUGCUGCAGUUUUCUUUUCUGGUUUUUCCCUCUCCUCUCUUUGGACGCACACCCCACGUACGACAACUCCAUUUCUUUUUAUUCUUUUUCUUUUGUUUUGUUUUUUUUUUAUUUAAUGCUGGCUGGGCCCCACAUGAAGGUGGACCCAACCAACAAGCUGCAAUCAACAAGAUCAGGGAAAACGAAAGUCAUUCUUCAACUCGAAGAUAACUCGACGUUAAUCCACCCAGAAAUGUAGGCAACAAGAUGUGAAUGAUCUUUGUACCUGCAUGAGGUCUCCAAUGUUGGCUAGGAUGGCUCCAGGCACCAGGGACACAUCGACCCACUGGUCCUGCUGCCGGACUUGGAGGCCGCCAUGGUGGUUUUGCAGGAGAAGAGUGAGAUAUGUGGCAUCCGAGUGAUUGAUUGUGCCCAGAGUCAGCUCUGGCUGAGGGCAAGUUGGGUAGUAAUGGCUUACUAUUCUCUUGGAGUCCAUGCAUUCAAUGUCACCAAGAUAGCCUGAAUCGAGCCCCAGUGCCUCUGAUAGUAGUUCAGACAGAGAUCUCUUCAAUUUUUCCACGUGUUUUUCGUACUCAAAAACCGACUCUCUGCAAAGGAGGGAAAGUAAACAUCACGUGGUAAAGAAUACAUGAACCUAUGCAAAUAGUGUUAGAGGAAUUAAAUAGAUAUUAAAAGAACAGUUGAAUACAGAAAUUGGUGAUAGUAGAAGAGCUAAACCUAAUGAAGUAACUGAGGCGGAGGAGGCUGGAACAGAGGAAGCUGGAGCAAAGGAAGGUCGUGAGCUGGCGAUCCAUGACAGCAAAACAUAAAACAUAGAAGUUGAUCAAGCAAAUUAAAGGAGUUGCACAGAUAGAAGAACUACUCAUAUGCUUCUAUAUUGGUUAUUCUGUUGUAACAAGUCUGUAACAGAAAUAGCUAAACUAGUAUAAAAGGAUAAGAGAAUGAGAGAAGGGUGUGCGAGAGUGUUACCUUCAUCUUUUCCAUCUCUGGUUGUUCUUGAUUCAUCUUGAGCUUUUUCUUUCACCUCUGUAUUCCGAGAAUGGUGAAGUCUUGUAAAGCAUGAACAAGAAGUUCUGAAGAAGAAAUACAUUUGAGCUGAGGUAUUUUUCAUUGAUUGUUCAAGAUCUAAAUCUCUUUCAUAUAUAGAUCUUGUUCUAUAUUCGAUUUCUUCUCAUGGUAUCAUAGCGCAUCGCCUGGGAAUAAUAGAUCUGACAUGUUCUUACUGCAAGAUAGUAUAAAGAUUCUGGUGAUUCUUAGGUAGUUUACCUUCAAAGUUUACUGGAUUGUUUCUUCGAGUCUUCAAAGUUUCUGGGCAUAUAAGAAUGGCAACUAGAGUGCAGAAGUAUCCUUUCCCUAUCCAUGUGAACAUAGCUAACUUCGUUACAAUCAAGUUGAAUGAAGAGAACUUUCUGUUAUGGCAAGCUCAAUUCAACAGAUUUCUGAAAAGCCAAGAUCUGAUUGGCUUCAUUAAUGGUGAAACAUUACCUCCAACUCAAAUGAUACAGACUGUGACAGGAGAAAUAAUGAAUCCUGAUCAUCUGGAUUGGAUAAAAACUGAUCAGCUCAUAUCAUCCUGGAUAAGUGGUGCAGUAUCAGAGAAUAUUCUAAGUUUGAUAAUUGGUUUAGAAACCUCACUCGAAGUAUGGCAGGUCCUCUUGAAUAGGUUUACACAGAAAUCUAUUGCAAAUGAGUUUGAGUUAAGAGGAAAACUUCAAGCUUGCAAGAAAAGAAACAGAUCACUAAGUGAAUACCUUCGUGAGUUCAAAACCAUCUGUGAUCAGUUAAAUGCAAUUGGAAAGCCUGUUGAUGAUAUAACAAGAAUGUUUGGCAUACUUGAAGGGCUAGGUUCUGAAUAUGAAACUUUCAGGACAACCAUGUAUUGUCUUAAGCCACAGCCAGAAUAUGAUGAGGUUAUUUCACAACUUGAAAGGUUUGAAAUCCGAUUACAAACAUAUUCUGUGAAUGAGUAUAACUUGGCCUAUUAUGGGCAAAGAAGAACUGGAACAAGUCAGCAGAGAGUCAAUUCCAGAAAUCAAAGAGAAAAUUUUCGAGGAGAAGCUAACUAUGGCAGAGGUCAGUCUUUCAUUCGAAGGGAUUAUGGAAAUAAUUUCACAGAAGCAGGAAGGAAUCAACAAAUUAAAAUGAAUAACCUGAAUUCAACUCAGCAAGGUCAGGUUAACAAGGAUAAUUGGUCUAACUUUGGACAAGGAUUUAGACCAUAUUCCAAUCCUGCACAGAGAUAUCAAAGUGUUAGGUCUUAUCCACCACAGAGUUCAAAUGGUGAUAGACAAACACAGAUUACAAAGCCUAUGAGUAAUGGACCUCUGUAAUGUCAUAUUUGUAAGAAAUCAGGUCAUACAGCACUCAGAUGUUGGUAUAGGUUUGAUAACUCGUACCAGGCAGAUGAAAUACCAACUGCAUUGGCAGCAGUUCACAUUAAAGAACCCUAUGGUUCAGAAUGGUAUCCAGAUACAGGGGCUACAGCACACAUUACCUCAGAACCUGGUAUGAUUCGAAACUGCAAUACAUAUAAUGGUAAUGACACUGUCAUGAUAGGAGAUGGAACUCAUUUGUCAAUCUCAUGCAUUGGUAAUGGAGUAUUGAAUAUAGAAAAUAGCAAAUUACCUCUGAAUGAUGUGUUAAUAGUUCCUGAAAUAAAAAAGAACCUUCUAUCUGUAUCAAAACUAACAGAUGAUUAUCCCUGUUCUUUUAUUUUUGAUAAACAUGGGGUAUAUAUGAAGGACAAUCACAAUCAUACGACAGUGAAGCUAGGAAGGAAAGUCAAGGGGCUAUACCAGGUGGAACCUAAAGUUGUAGAGGUUUUCUUCACACAGACUCACCCGGAAGUUGGAGAGGAUGUCUAGCAUCAAAGACUUGCUCACACCAGUCUUAAAACAGUGAAGAUUCUACAGAAACAACAACUCAUUCAGUUUAGUUCUAAAGCUCAGAAUAUAUGUAGCAGCUGUCAAGUUGCUAAAAGCUCAGCUUUAUCUUUUCAUUUCUCAGAUCAUAUCUCGAAUGUUCCAUUAGAAAGAAUACACUGUGAUGUAUGGGGACCUUCACCAAUUCAAUCUGUUCAGAAAUUCUCCUACUAUGUCAUUUUUUUGGAUGACUUUUCUCGGUAUAGUUGGAUAUAUCCAAUGAGACAAAAGUCUGAAGUCUAUGAGAUAUUCAUUAUGUUUCAAAGACUUAUAGAAAAUCAGCUUAACCACAAGAUCAAAAUCUUCCAGAGUGAUGGAGGAGGUGAGUUCACUAGUAGUAAAUUCCAAACUCAUCUACAAAACUGUGGAAUUAAGCAGCAUAUUUCUUGCCCUCACACACCAGAGCAGAAUGGUGUCUCUGAAAGAAAACAUCAACAUGUGAUUGAAUUGGGUUUAGCAAUGAUGUAUCAUGCUAAAAUACCACUGAAAUACUUGGUAGAUGCAUUCAAAACAGCAGUUUAUGUUAUCAAUCUUCUUCCCACAACAAAACUACAUAUGCAUUCACCACAUUAUAAGCUCUACAAAAAGACACCAGACUAUUCUUAUCUUCGAGUUUUUGGAUCAGCUUGUUAUCCAUGUCUCAGGCACUACACAAAGCAUAAAUUUGAUCCAAGAUCACUUACAUGUAUCUUUCUUGGAUAUAGUGAGAAGCAUAAAGGGUACCAAUGUCUCUUACCUACAAAUGGAAGAGUCUACAUCAGCAGACAUGUCAUAUUUGAUGAGAAAGUCUUUCCCUUUUCUCAUAUCCUACAUACUGAAUAUUAGCAGGGGUCUGACUUAUACAAACAGUGGAUAAAAGGAGUGCUAUCUUCUAUUUCCAGCUCUACUAAGCAGGAUCAAUCACAAGACAAUAUAUCGGAGAGACAUCUGCAGCAUACCAGAUUCACUCAAACAACUCCAGUAAUGCAGGACAAUGAGCUCAGUACAUGUAAUCCUGCAGGACAAUCACAAAUACAGAUGGUACCUAAUACUGAGAUGCAAAGUGAUCUUAAUAAUGCCUCUGGUGGUAUUGAAUUGCAUCAGUCAUCUCCAAUCAUAGAGGAACUAAUAUCUACAAAUCAAGAGAAUGUCUCAACAUCAAAUACUAAUCCAGAACAAAUACAAAUCAGUUCUGAAACUGAACAGAUACAAGGUACUUCUUCAACUCAUCCUAUGCAAACUAGACUUUGAUCUGGAAUUGUUAAAACAAAUCCUAAAUAUGCAUGUCUAGUUGAGUAUCAGGUUCCUAUCGAACCAAAAACAGUAAAGGCUGCCUUAGCAGACCGAGGGUGGUAUCAAGCAAUGAAAGAAGAAAUGGAUGCCUUAUAUCAGAAUCAAACCUGGGAAUUAGUUCCUAGAAAUGAUCACAUGCAUAUUAUCGGGUGCAAAUGGGUGUUCAAGGAAAAACUCGCACCUGAUGGGAGCUUGGAUAGGCUCAAAGCAAGGCUUGUAGCUAAAGGCUUCCAUCAAGAAGAAGGUCUUGAUUUCAUAGAAACCUUCAGUCCUGUAGUGAAGCAUGCAACAAUUCGAAUAAUCCUAUCAAUUGCUAUGAUGAAACAAUGAAACAUUCAUCAAUUAGAUGUCAAAAAUGCCUUCUUACAUGGAACCUUAAGUGAAACAGUGUAUAUGGAGCAGCCUCCAGGAUUUAAAGAAUCACAAAAGCCCCACCAUGUCUGUCUCCUUCGAAGAUCUCUUUAUGGACUUCGACAAGCUCCUCGAGCCUGGUUUGACAGAUUUAGCAGCUUCCUUCUCGAAAAUGGAUUUUUCUGCAGCUCUACUGAUCCUUCCCUAUUCAUUCUGCAUACUGAAACAGCAACUACUCUCUUAUUAUUGUAUGUAGAUGACAUCAUUCUCACUGGAAGCUCCCCUCAAAUGAUUUCUGCACUUAUUACUUCUCUGAGCAUUCAUUUUCAUAUGAAGGAUCUAAGGUCUUUACACUAUUUCCUUGGCAUUGAAGCUACACGAACCUCGGAUUACCUAUUCCUAUGUCAAACCAAAUAUGCUCUAGACCUCCUCACCCGAGCUCAUAUGCUUGACUCCAAACCAGUUUCAACUCCUCUUUCGUUAAAACCACCUGUUUUAAUCAAUGAUACUAUACCUUUGACCAAUCCCACUGAGUACCGGAGUCUAGUUGGAGGUCUGCAAUACCUCACAUUAACCAGACCAGACAUUGCUUAUGCCACCAAUAUACUCUGCCAAAGAAUGCAGCAACUCACAAUUGCAGACUUCAACCACUUAAAAAGAGUCUUGCGAUAUAUAAAGGGUACUCUCAAGCUUGGUUUAUUCCUUCACUCCCACAGUACCAUGCAUCUUUAUGGUUUCUCCGAUGCAGAUUGGGCAGGGUGUGCAGAAACCAGAAGAUCAACAACUGGUUUUUGUAUAUAUCUUGGAUCCAACCUUAUAUCCUGGGCAGCAAAGAAACAGCCUUCAGUGAGCAGAUCCUCCACUGAAGCUGAAUACCGUGCUCUUGCAUCAGCCACUGCCGAUCUUACUUGGGUCAGUUUUGUAUUACGUGAUAUAGGUUGUUCUCUUACUCCUCCUAUUCAUUUGUACUGUGAUAAUAAGUCAGCAAUCUCUCUCACUUUGAAUCCUGUUUUACACGCUCGAACUAAACAUAUUGAAGUAGAUUUUCACUUCGUUCGGGAAAAAGUAUCCUCGGGAUCUUUACAAGUCAAAUACAUUCCAAGUCCUUACCAAUUAGCUGAUGUCUUCACCAAACCACUGACAAGAAGCUCACACUCUUAUAUGCGAACCAAAUUGGGAAUCUGUACUCUAUCCAUUCCCAAUUUGAGGGGGGAUGUUAGAGGAAUUAAACAGAUAUUAAAAGAACAGUUGAAUACAGAAAUUGGUGAUAGUAGAAGAGCUAAACCUAAUGAAGUAACUAAGGCAGAGGAGGCUGGAACAGAGGAAGCUGGAGCAAAGGAAGGUCGUGAGCUGGCGAUCCAGGUGAAUUGAUGAGCUGGCGAUCCAUGACAGCAAAACAUAAAACAUAGAAGUUGAUCAAGCAAAUUAAAGGAGCUGCACAGAUAGAAGAACUACUCAUAUGCUUCUAUAUUGGUUAUUCUGUUGUAACAAGUCUGUAACAGAAAUAGCUAAACUAGUAUAAAAGGAUAAGAGAAUGAGAGAAGGGUGUGCGAGAGUGUUACCUUCAUCUUUUCCAUCUCUGGUUGUUCUUGAUUCAUCUUGAGCUUUUUCUUUCACCUCUGUAUUCCGAGAAUGGUGAAGUCCUGUAAAGCAUGAACUAGAAGUUCUGAAGAAGAAAUACAUUUGAGUGAGGUAUUUUUCAUUGAUUGUUCAAGAUCUAAAUCUCUUUCAUAUACAGAUCUUGUUCUAUAUUCGAUUUCUUCUCAAAUAGAGAAGGGAAAGUUAUACAUGGAUGAAAGAGGUGUGAAGAAUCGAACUUGAUAUCUAUCUCUUGCCCUGAUAUCAUGUUGAAGUUAUGCAGAAAACUGUUUUCUUUCCCCUUUAAAGUAAAAAAGAAACACGGUAUAUAUUUUUCGAAAUUGUCGAAGUCCUGGGUGAAGGAAUAGAGUGUAAAUCAUGAUGACCUGAAUAGAAGAGGGACUGCCUCUCGGUCUGGCUCUCCAAACGAGAAAUCAAACAGGAGAGUGUCCUUCCAAGUUGCUGCUUUGGACAAAAACAAGUCUCCAUUGCUGUAGUACCUAAAUUUCCUAGCGUCGUCCCUGGAGUACCACUCUCCCUUCACUCCCUCAGGCUGCUCGUGGAACUGCUUGACAGCUUCCAACACGCUGUCCAUCACAUCGACCGGGAUCCCGUGGUUAAUUAUCUGGAAGAACCCCCACGUCUCCGACGCUCUACGGAGGUCGUCGACCACGUCUCGCCGCAGCCGGGAAUCCUGACAGCCCAUCAUGUCGAUGAUGGGGACCUUAAGGUCAGUGGCGGACCCCUCUGUGUCAGAGGACACGUCGCGCAGGUUCUGGGGAGGGUGGAUGAAGAGCCUAGGGACCUUGGCCACGCCGGAGUCGAUGAGGCCUUUGACGCCGGCUUUGGUCUCGUCGAAUUCCUUUGCUUCUUUUGCUCCGUCAUAGUGCGGGCCACUACAGGUGAUGGAUUCUUCAGGACUGGGCAAGAUUUGCAUCUUUGUAAGGAGAAGCUUUGAAGCCUAUUAAUCCUAAUUGGGAGAUAUGUCUAUCGCAUGUUAGAUAUUAAUAGACAUAUAUUAGAUAGUAAAAUAUCUAAAUCAAAUCAAGAUAAGAUAAUUACCUAAUUUUUCACAAGUAAUAUUGCAAAAUUUGAACUCGACAAGAACAAAAUUUGAAGCUCGGCACGGUGGUGCUCCUCAGUAAAGGAUGAUCGUGGGCUCACGGUGAACGAACCUGCAAAAAUAAGAACUUCGUAGAAUCGACUCGGUUUGGAUACGAACAAGAACGGCGGCUAGUGUCGGAAGGUGGGGGGGUUCACAAUUGAGGUGCAGGAGCGAGUCGUUGAGAUCGUCUAAAAAUUUCGGCAAGGCUGGGUUCGUCAGUACAUGUGCGUAACAGCAAGGUAGCUUGCUGGUUCGCUACUGGGUUGAGUGUUCCUUCAAUGGACAGUUAACACCAAUGACACCAAGGCCUUGUAGGCAUGGACACGAGGCAAGUCACGGGCUGCUCUCCAGAUGGUGGACUUAUCCCUUCAAGGCCUCACCUCUAUUA
RNAcentral lists this long non-coding RNA (29667 nucleotides) under Eucalyptus grandis. Its description in RNAcentral is "long non-coding RNA (EGRA_LNC006610)". Lineage: Eukaryota; Viridiplantae; Streptophyta; Magnoliopsida; Myrtales; Myrtaceae. The record is from RNAcentral.